This 35971-nucleotide long non-coding RNA is filed under the name Medicago truncatula (barrel medic). RNAcentral's name for it is "long non-coding RNA (MTRU_LNC001461)". The record is from RNAcentral. Lineage: Eukaryota; Viridiplantae; Streptophyta; Magnoliopsida; Fabales; Fabaceae.
UCCCUUCUCAAAUUGGGCACCUGCAACAAGUUUUAGCCUUGAACCUAUCACAUAAUCACUUGUCGGGUCCUAUUCCAAUUACGUUUUCAAAUCUUACCGAAAUAGAGAGCCUUGACUUAUCAUACAAUAACUUGAGUGGUAAGAUACCUUAUGAGCUAACCCAGUUGACCUUUUUAUCAACCUUCAACGUGUCAUACAACAACCUUUCUGGAACACCACCUAGUACAGGACAGUUUGCAACCUUCGUUGAGGACAGCUACAGAGGUAAUCCCGGUCUUUGUGGAUCACUCCUCGACCGAAAGUGUGAAGGUGUCAAGUCUUCACCAUCAUCACAAUCCAAUGACAAUGAAGAAGAGGAAACAAAUGUGGACAUGAUAACAUUUUAUUGGAGGUUUCUACAGCAUCUUACAUAACAAUAUUGUUGGCCUUCGUAACAGUGUUGUGUAUCAAUGCUCGUUGGCGUAUGGCUUGGUUUUAUUACAUUAGUAAGUUUGCACGAUUUUUUUUUCCAACUUUUCCAUUGUACUGAAGAGUGUACGUAGUACCUGUUGAAACUUUACGUGGAGUCUCAAAUAUUUGGAUAUUGUAAUUUUUAUAUUUAUCGUUAAUUUCAGACAGUUUGAUGCUGGACAUGAUUUUAAGCUCUUUUUAUUUUUUCAUUGUUUUUUGUGUGAUGUACUUGUCUGCAGUUGUUUGAUUUGAAGCUAUUGAAUACAUUAUUAUGUUUUUUUCUUUCUUCAUAUUAAUGCUUAUCUAAUUACUCUGUUGUCAGACUCUAAUAGCAAUCAGAAGAAGAAUUGUUGUUGUUUUUUUUAUCUUCAUAUUAAUGCAUAAUCAAUUAGCUAACUGUAUACAUUUGUCAUAGAAUAUCAAAAUUAUGCAGACUCAGAAAUAUUGAAGACUUCAUUAUGAACUUAAUAUCAUGUUAAUAGUCUCAUUGAAAUGUGGUUGUACUUGUACACUUGUACUAGUUAAUUAUGUUAUCAAUUAUCUUAGUACUGGACCUCGACUAAGUAUGAGAAUGAUGUUAGUUUAUUGUAACACGUAUUAUUAUCAAAUCUCUUAUUAUUUGUGGUUUCUUUCAUCCUUUUGUAUUGAAACCAUGUUGUUGAAUCCAAUAGCAGCGAUUUCCGAUUAAGUUGCAUACAACUUCUGUUACCAUCUUUGUCGUCAUAUCAUAUCCAAGAGUUCCUCAAAUAGCUCUGAGACCUGUUUCAAAGAUCCAUCAAAUGACGUUCUGCAGCCAUUGACCCGGCAGCAGCCAUUGAUUCUGUGACAGGCCCUAUGCUAGAGUAUUAUUGAAAAGAUGAAAAGAAAACGAGCAAAAACUGUUUUUUACUCGAGAGCAUGCUCUGUCGAUGGAAUCAUUCCCUUCUAGAGAGCCUUGUGUACAAUACUAACUCCAAUGCCAUUAAUAUUUGCCUUUAGUUUUCUUUUGUCAUUAAUUAAUUCUUCAACCACCAAAUCGGGUCAUGUCUUUAUAAGUCAAUCUCAAAUUAGUCUCUAACUCUAUUAAUAUUUCAAAUUAGUCUCUGUCUUUCUCAAAAGUUUCUAAACCACAUUCCUCGACAUGUGACAAAAACAUAAAGACAAGGACCUAAUUAACAAACUUUUAACAAAGUGCUUUUGUAAGUAAUUCAUUAUGAGACCCUAUGUUUUACGGUUUCUUUCAUAAUGUUAUUGUUUUUCAUUGAAAGGUUUAGCUCUCAUAUUUAACACUUUUGUUGUUUUUUGUUAAAGUAACUUCUUAUAUUUUUCUAAUACCUCGAAUGUCAAUGUAUCUUACUAAUUUGUUUAUAUCCAUGAGAUUACAAUUAGUUGUUGAACCUUGUUUAAGCGUUUUCGUGAGAUCUGUCUGAUUUAAUGAACAGAAUGGCUUUUCCAGGUCGCAUUGAGCAUGGUAUGAGAGGAAGGUUUUGCAUCUUUCUACUAUGGCCUUUGGCCGUCACUUAUUGGAAUAGCUUCAUAUAUUCCAGUUAACUUUUGUGUUUUUGACUUGCGAUCGAGUUUGAGUAAUUGUUUUUGACUAACAUUGAAAUUAAAACAUCAUAACCAUACCAGAGAAGUCGUCACCACCAUGCUUUAAAAAUUCAGCAUCACUUGCAACACAAUGAUGGGAAAUAUUUGAAGCUCAAAUGCUUCAGUGUUCACAUAUAACUGCCAUAUUAAUAUUAUGGUCGAUGCAGGUAAUGGGAAACACAUGAAUCAAAAUUGGCAAAUGAUCAUAUACUUGUUUUUUCAUUGGAAGAUCUUUCUUAUGAUCUGAAUGGCAACUUUACCCAUUCUAGCUAUGGGUAAUCAACGGUGCAAGGCUGCCCCUGAUUGUCUUUCAAAUUCAAACGAGAAUGAAAUGUAGAAAGAGUUUUCAUUUUUAUACAAAAGAGCUUAUUACGCAGUUGCUUGGUUGGAAUUAUUCACAAAUAAUAUAAAAUUUGUUUUGUCAUUCUACUUAUACUAGUUAUUUUGCAAAAACAUAUUAAGAAAUGUAAUUAAUAUUGUAUAUGAAAGAGAUAUUAUCAGUAGUUUUACACAUUUGUCUUAAAAUGAUUGAAAUUAAUAAAUAGGUAAGAGUAUAAUAGGAAAAUUAACAUUAAUGUUACCGUAAAACAACUUAUAAUUUGGGACUAACUUUUUUUUUUUUUCUUUUUUUUUUUUCAAAAUUAUAAUUUGAGAUGGAGAGAGUAUUAAUUAAACUAGUAAUGUUAACAUACGUACGUAUAUUUAGUCUUGCAAGCAGCAAGAUAACAUUAGCAUCUUUGUCAAAUGUCAUAUUCUCUAGUCAACUCCAAGUCUUUCUUGUGCUUCAAGGAAGUUUCUUGGAAUUGAAAAGUCCCAUCUUUGUGUAUACAUGAAUUUGGGGCAAGACUGAAAAGUCCCAACAUAAUGAUUCUUGCCGGAAAGAAAGACACUUACAAAACUAAAUGAUAUGUUAUCAUAAUUUUCCGGUAACAUUUUCCACUUCCUAUUAGUUUAAUUUAUAUGCACAGCCAAUUUAAAGAUUUUUUACACUUGCAAUUGUCAUAUCAUUGAAAUCAUUUAACUUCAAUGAUAACUACUUCUAAAGUUGUACAUAUAAUUAAUUGUGAUUUGUUAAUAAUAUAAUUUUUUUUUUUUUUAAAUUGACGGUGUAUAUCAAAAUUAACUAUGGCUACAUCAAGGUUUGUUAUAUCAUAGUUUAAAAAGUGAAUACUUUUUCCUCUCCUCACUGAUUCCUUAUAUUUUUCAAUGUAGGCAGGAACCGAAAGUUUUCAGUUUGAUGAGAACAUAGAACAGGAAUGGAAAAUUCAAAUACAAAAUUUAGGCAAUGGCUAAAACAGCAUUUUAAGUAUAAUAGAUGGAAAAAAAAACUUAUAAUAGAAGGAAAAAAUUAAGAUUUAUUGAUACUGGAAAAAAUUAAGAUUUAUUGAUAUUGCAAAAUGAUAUAUAAAUUGGGAGAAAAAAAAAAAGUAAAUGGGAGAAUUUUACUUCUUAUAACUUUAAACUUAUUUGACGCUGGUUAAACUAUUUUUAAUGACCGAUGUUAGUAUACUUAAUUAUUACUUACUAUCCUAUUUGUUUGAGGGAGAAGUUGAGCAAAUGACCUCUUUACCACUCAAAUACUUACAUCCUUCCGUUAAACUACCAAACAAAGACCCCUAUAUGGUUACUAUAUUGAAAGCAACAACUAACUACUAAUGUUCACAUACAUAUUUAAUAUCAUGCAAGAUAAGUUUAGCAUCUUUCUCAAAUGUCAUCAUCUCUAGUCAACUCCAAGUCUUUCUUGUGCUUGGUGGAAGUUUCUUGUAAUAGAUAAUAUCCCAUAAUUUUAGUGUAUAUAAUGUAUAUGAGGUGAUUAUAGGAUUCGGACCAAAACUGCACACAAUACCCAUACAUUUCUCAAAAAUGAAGUUGGGUUUGAUAAUUAGUUCCCUUUUAUAUUUUGUGAUUUUAAUGUUAAUUCAAAAUCAAGGAUGUAACGGAUGCUUAGAGAAAGAGAGAAUAGGGUUGUUGGAGAUCAAGCACUACAUCUUGUCACAAGACGAAGGAUAUUCUUACCAUAGCACAGAAGAGUAUUCUUAUAAUAUCAAAGAAUUGGGUUCAUGGGUUGAUGAUAGAGAUAGCAAUUGUUGUUCUUGGAAAAGAGUCAAGUGCUCUAACACCUCUUCUGGUCACAUAACUGAAUUAUCCCUUUACUUGUUACUAUUUGAGACCCCUGAUUCUAAGAUGUUAAAUGUUUCAUUGUUCCGUCCAUUUGAAGAGCUACGCCUCCUUGACUUGUCCUAUAACUCCUUUCAAGGUUGGAUUGGCAAUGAAGGUACUACGUUGGCCCUUAUAUAUAAAAUUUCUUUAUUAAACUUAUACAAAUUAAAAAAGUUCUUUAAUUUUUAUUUGUUGUGUUAAAUUUGUUAACAUUUUAAUUUAUAUUAAAAUUUCUUUAUUAAACUUAUACAAAUUAAAAAAGUUCAUUAAUUUUUAUUUGUUGUGUUAAAUUUGUUAACAUUUUAAUUUAUAUUAUCCCCGUGAGCUUAACUCAGUUGGUAGGGAUAUCGCAUAUUAUAUGCAGGGGCCGGGGUUCGAACCCCGACACUCCACUUCUCCACAAUUUAAUUGUGUGAGCUCUUGCCAUUAGGCUACUUGCACUACAAGAAACAUUGCAUUUUGCCAGGGGCAAAAUCCCUGAGAAAAUGACAGAAUCCCUGAGAAAAGGGACAUUUAUGAGGGAAUUUGCCAGGGGCGGAAACCCUGGCAAAACAGCUCAUCGCUAACAUUUUGUGAGGGGUUACACCCCUGGAAAAAAAACGAGGGGCUAAACCCCUGACAAACUGCGUCACUUAAACCCUGUCUUAUUCCCUGGCAAAAUUCGUCACUUUUGUCUGCAACUAUGCAGGUCUGCUCUGACUUGACUGCUGACUGACGGAAUGUCAAAUCAGCAGGGUAACUUAAGCCAAGGCCUUUGCGAGUGGUAUAACCCCUGGCAAAUGGUAUAUUAAUUUUUUUAAAAAACUGGUUUUAUUUUUUAAACUGAUUUUUUAAUUAUUAAUUAAAUGUUUUUAAAAUAAUUUUAAUUAAUGAAAUGUUAUUUAAAUUAAAUUAAAAAUUGUAUUUUUUUGUCAAAGUUGUUUUUGAAAAAAAUGUAUAUUUAAAGUUGUUUUCAUAUUGGCAUAUAAGAUCCUUCAAAAAAAUAUUGGCAUAAAAGAUAUUUAUAAAUUUAUUAAUUAAAUUGAGUUAAUUUUAUCCACAUGUAAAAAUUGUAUUGUCUGGUUGUUAAAAUGAACGAAAUGUUAAGAAAAUCAUAAGGAUUGAUAUAACACACAUUUUAAUAUAACAACUACAUUUACUAUAGAUUGAAUUUUCGUUAUUGAGUCUUAACAAUUUUAUUUUAAAAGAUGGUUUUAGUAUUAUGUAGUCAUUUUAUGACAAAACACAAUUGUUAUCAAUAUUGGGCAAAGAUAAUAGACAACCGAUUUUUUUCUUUCCAGAUCUAAGAGCAACACUAAAAAGAUCACACAACAAUAAGACAAGAAAAUGAUUACAAAAAAUGCCAUGACCAUCAUCUUCCUUUUGAACCAGUAAUCGCUAUGAAGGUCAUGCUUGUAAUAGGAAAGAAAAAAUGCAGCAAUAUAAAGAGAAGUUCAUGGGUAAAAGUACUAGCUUGACACCCUAACUAGAAAGAUCACGUGUAAAAGAAGGAGCAUGAAGAAGGUGCUAAAUUGAAAAUAGAAAGAAAAACAAGAAGAAGCUUUCAUGAGUAAAACAAUGAUUAAUGGAAAUAGAGUGUAAGAACUAAGAACCAUAGCAGCAACGUCUUCAUUAGCGGUUUCAGACUUCAGAGUGAUUUUCAAAUGGAUAUGAUGCAUAUGGUGUGUUAGUGGUAAUGGUCACCAAAUGGAUAAAAACAUAAGUUGUGGACAUAUUUGGUGAUAUAUAAAAUUGAAGGUACACGGUUUGGCAAUGGUGCAGGAAUAUGCCACGGCCGUACAGCAAUAUCCGAGGGGUAAAACCCCUGGCUUGCUGGCAGCACAGUUUUUGCAGCAGGUUUUGUCAAGUCAAAACAGCAGGUUUUGCAGGGAAUCCCUUCUUUUGGCUAAGUUUUUUUUUUGAAAAAGCUGCACAACUAGAUUUUUUGAAUUUCAAGUUUGGCGCUCAAAUUAAAGACAGGGGUUGUGUCUUUUUGCCCGGGGCAAACCCCUGUCUUAUGGUAAGUGGUCCUCGCAUUUCUUAAAGUCCAUUUGUGAGGGGUUUCCUUGACAUUUUUCAUGGCAAAUUUGCUAGGGGUUUUAUGUCCCUGGCAAAAUUCUUGGCAAAUGGUCAUUUUUCUUGUAGUGUUGAACCAAAAAAAAAUAAAUAAAUAAAUAAUUCAUAUUGUCAUAAUUAGCAAUAAUUGACCGGUGAGUUUAAGUUUUCUAAAUAAGAUUAUUAUUUUACAACAUAAAAAAUCAAUGUACAAAUCUCAAUUAAGAGAGAUGUCAGUACUUUCUAUUUACAAUAUCUUAUAUACGAAUCAAAAAAAAAUAUAUGAAUUCUUUGUCAGAUGGUCUUACUAAAUUUGGUGGGAUCAAUAUAAAUUUCAACCAAUACAAACAUAAGUGUUGUAAAUAGUACUCUCUCCGUCCCUAUAUGUAACCUCCUUUUGCAUUUUUCAUAUUUUUUAAUAAAGUUUUCGGUGUAAUUAAUAUGUCUGUUUUGUGCGUUAAUAUUACUAAAUUGUCAUUUGUUUGUAUGUGUAUUAAAUUUAAUUUUUCAUAUUUCAAUACAAGCUAGUAGUAUUAAUUAAGGGUAUGUUUAGAAAAAAAAAAAAAAAUGCAUCUAGUAAUAUGAAAACGGGUUUACAUUUAGAGACAAAAAUAAAAUCAAAUUGGUGCUUAGAUAUAGGGACGGAGGAAGUAUAUCACUAGCAUAAUUAAAAGAUGGUCUCAUAGCUUUCUCUGUUUCUUUCAAACUAACUUACUAUGCUUCUUUUGAAGGUUUUCAAGGAAUUAAAAUGGUGGAGACAUUAGACCUUUCAAGGAACCAUCUAAAUAGUAGCAUCUUAUCAAGUUUGAAUAAUGGAUUAACGGCUCUAACAACUUUGAACCUCGGUAAUAACAAAAUAGAUAAUAACUUCUUCGCUCAAGGUACAAUUUGUUUGUAUAAUUUAUUUACGGGAAAUGUUAAUAAGUGCCCUCAAGACAUUUGAUAAAAAGACUAAAGAAGAAAUGUUAUCUUGGAAAUGGUGCAUUCAAUGUAUUGAAAUUUUAAAAUAUAAUUUUUUCUACUUAAAAUUCAUCAAUUAUUUCUAUUUAUGUAUUCUUAAAAAGUGUCCUGAGGCCAUUUGUUAACAAGGAUUUUUAUUCAUUUUUGUACUACAUACGAUGGAUAUGACUGCUUGUUUGAAUCUUGUAUGUUUUAUCAAUCAGCAAUGCAACUUUAGUACUUAUAUAUAAGACUUAGUUAACAAAUUUAAAAAGUUUGUUAAUUUUGUAUUUUUUUGUGUGUUAAAUAUGCUAACAUUUUAAUAUUAAUUUUAAAAAGUAUAAAUAAUUGACAAUAUAAAAUAGAUAUCGGUAGAACACAAAAAAAGAAAAUAGAUGUCUGUAUUUAGUAUUUACAAUAUCUUGCAUAUGGAUGAAUGAAAGAAUUCUUUUAUAUAUGUGAUUGAAAUAUAUGAAUUCUUUCUAUCUCUAUAUUUAUCUAGAAUAUCAAUAGGUCUUAUUAAAUUUGGUGGGAUUAGUAUAAAUUUUGACCAAUACAAAAAUAAGUGUUGUAAAUAAUACGGUAAAUUCCUUAAAAAAAAGUAAAUAAUACGGUAAAUGUUAUGUCAUUAGCAUAAUUAAAAAAUAAUUAAUACAAGAGAGAUAAUUUUAACGAGGAGUUGCCCUCCGUCUGGCAUGAAAUUUCUCAUUCUAAGAUAUAAGCUUGGAAUUUAAUUUCGAAUCUUCCAUUUUUUUUCUUUUUCUUUUUUCCCCGUAACAUUGUAACACUAUAAAUUUUUUGGGUUAAUAGGCUUUUACCCCCCUGCCAUUUGGGCGUCUUUUGGUUUACCCCCCUACAAAAAAAAAACUUGGAGAUUCCCCCUUGCAAAAUGAAGAUUCUUUGGUUUUGGACCCUGAGUCCAUCUGACUGUGUAAUUUAGUUGAUGUGGCGUGCUGACUGUGUAACGAUGGAUGAAGUGGCACUGACACGUCAUAAUUUUUAUUUUUUUAUUUUUAAAAUUAUGUUAAAAAUGUGAAAUACCUAAAAUACCCCUAAUGAUAAAUUAAAAAUUCCAAAUCUUUUUCUCCCCUUCUUCUCCUCCAGCAGCGACCCUCUUCUUCUAUUCUUCUCUACUUCAUCAUCUACAUCAACACAACAAACACAACAACACAACAAUUCAACACAACAACAACAAACAUCUUCUUUUCAAACUCACAACAACACAUCAUCAACAACAUCCCAAAUCACAAAUCACAAACAUUCAUCUUCUCACCCAUAAAAGCAAAAGAGUCUCAAAAUAGGUCUGAAAAUUCUAACCCAUAAAUCCGAAGAAAAAAAUCCGAAAAAUGUUAUUGAUGUUGUUUAUGGGUCGAAAAAUGGGUUUGAUAAAAAAUGGAUUGUUGUUGUUUGAAUCUCAAUAUGUUGUAUUUGUUUGUGUGUUAUUGUUGUUUGAUUGGAUCCAAAAGUUGUUUUGAUUUGUAUUGUUUAUGUUUUUGGCUAUGUUUUUGCCCAGAGAAGAGAAUAGGAAGGAGGAAAUGGGAAUGAGAGAGAAGGGAGUAAAAAGAAGAACAUGGAGAGAAGGAAGAAUGGGGACGAGAGAGAGAGAAGGAAGGAGGAAAUGGAGGAGAAAAGAAAAAAUAUAUUUUUUUUAAUGUUUUUAAUUUAUAAAAUUAAGUUUUUAAUAAAAGAAAUUCAAAUAGAGAAAAAAAUAAUUGGAAAAGAAAUAAAAAAAAAGCCACGUCAGCAUGCCACCUCCUUAAUUAUGCACAAUCAGCGUGCCACAUCAUCCCAUUAAUCCAGUCAUAUGGUUUGGGGGGCGUAAACCAAAGAAUCUUCAUUUUACAGGGGGAAUCUCCUAAGUUUUUUUUUGAUAGGGGGGUAUACCAAAAAACUCCAAAAUGGCAGGGGGGUAAAAGCCUAUUAACCCAAAUUUUUUUUUGAGAAAUAUAUAAAUCUUUCCAUAAACGUAGCUCAAUUGAUCGGAACAUUGCAGUAUGUUAGGGUCGGUGUUUGAAUCCUUAUUCUUCAUUUAUUUACCUCAAGAUGUGAAUUUAUAGCUAAUAAAUUACUUGACAAAAAAAAGAUAAAUAAAUUGUUAAUAUGUCACACGCACUUGGUCAUUAAAUUCUUUUUUUUUUUUUUUGACAAAUAGUCAUUAAAAUUCAUGGAACCCACGUUAUGAAGUUUUUUUAAAGAGGUUCACAAGUUGAUUUGGAGAAUUUGAAGAUAUAAAUCUCAAAUAUUAAUAUUAUUUAGGCGUUAGACUAUUUUCUUCUUAAAUUAACAAUAACUAAAAUUAAUUUGUGAAAUGAACUUUUUUUUAAGUCACGUUUGUUUUUUAUUGCCAAUUCGGUCUUUAAGAUAGUCUCAGAUAUUGAUUGAUACUAUGAAAGUGUUUUUAAUUUUAUAAUGAUUUCAUUAAUUCUUUAAUUUUAUAAUGAUUUCAUAAAUUCUUUAAUUUUAGGAUCGACCUAUGUAAUUUUUUAGACAAACUGAGUGGUUUGUUUUUCUAUUUCACAUGACUCGCUGUUUUUUUUUUCCCCUUCAUUUUUCGUGACUUUUAUUUCUCUUUUGAAACAAGUGUAGAAAUAAACUCUUAAUUAACAAGAAACUGUUUUCAUUAAUCAAAGAUUGUGUAGAAAGUAAAUGGCAUCACUAUACAACAUAUUUGUUAUCAAAUGUAAACUUCUCAUAGCUUAGUAUGCUUGUUUUGAAGGUUUUCCAAGACUUGAAAAAUUGGAGACAUUAGACCUUUCAGACAACUAUUAUCUAAACAGUAGCAUUUUGUCAAGUUUGAAUGGAUUGACUGCUCUAACAACUUUGAAGUUGGGUUCUAAUUCAAUGAAAAACUUCUCUGCUCAAGGUACAUUUUGUUUCAAUAAUUUAUUUGUGGAGUUUAUGUGAUGAAGUGAAUGAAUUAGAAGACAAUUAUAAGAUCUCGAAGAAAAUAUUAAUUUUUAACGAUAAUAAGAGACUUUAAAUAAAAUGAAAAACUGGUUAUGAAUCAUUGGUAGGAAUUGAAAUUAAUUAACAAAAGCUUUUCAUUAUGUAUAUUGUUGAAGGAUUUUCGAGAUCAAAGGAGUUGGAGGUCUUAGACCUUUCCCAUAAUGAGCUAAACUGCAAUAUCAUAACAAGUUUGUAUGGUUUCAUAUCAUUAAGGAGUUUGAUUUUGAGAGAUAACAAGUUCAAUUGUUCUCUCUCCACUUUAGGUACGCAUCUUCAAAUAAUAUAUUAUGGCAAAUGUUUUUAGUUUCAUUUAAAAAAAAAAGUAUUAUGUCCUUGCAACAGAUUUUGCCAAAUUUAGUCGGCUAGAACUAUUGGACUUGGAUGGUAAUCAAUUUAUUGGUUCACUACAUGUUGAAGGUACUUUUACUAUUAUUUUUGUUUCAACUACUAUUUAUGGUUACAAAGGAACACAAAAUUUAUUACCACUAUUUAUGGAAAAGAUUUUAUAGGAAAAUUUAUUCUGUUUGAGAAAUUCAGACAUUGUUUAGGAGUUAGCAGUUUGUUUAUAAAUCAUAUUCUCAAUAGAGGCUCUAAGUUAAUGAGUUUACAAUCUUUAAUUAAAUUCAAUAAAAUAAUUCUAAUUAAAUAUGUUUUGCCACUCUCCACAUAAUACUCUUUGCACACUCUAGCGCCUUAGCUUCUAUUAUCUCUUGGGAAAGAAGGAAGAUAAUAGAAGUUUCAUAAAUUUUUUUGUAAUGAAUGGUGAAGUUUCAUAAGGUUGAUCACCAAUGUGAUAUUGGCUAUUGUUGAAACCCAAUGGUGAAAUGAACCGGAGCUUUUGUAUUUCCUAACAUAGUAUGCCGAGCUGAAUGAUUCCCAUAUACCAAUUUGUCAUCAAGGAUUCUCCAAGAAUUUGGUCUCCAUGUCAAUCAGCUCUGACACAAAGGCCUCUUCUUUAAAUUUCUUAGUUCUUACAGAUUUAUUGAAUAUUAUAUCUCUAAAUAUGUACUUUUUUUUUUUUUUUCUUUUUUGCAGAUGUUCAACACUUGAAAAAAUUGAAAAUGUUAAGUUUAAGCUAUAAUCAAAUGAACGGCUCAAUUGAAGGUAUCAAUACUAUCAAACAUAAAUAAUUAAUUGGUUUGAUUUGUAAAUUAAUAUAUAUAUAUAUAUAUAUAUAUUGAGUCCAUUGGAAAAACUUUAAGAUUUUUAUGAUAAUGUCAAUUUUUGUAAAGAUAACUGGACAUAGUUAAUUAUGACAGGACUAUGCAAUUUGAAGGAUUUGGUAGAACUGGAUAUCAGCAAAAACAUGUUUGGGGCUAAACUUCCUGAGUGUUUAAGUAACUUAACAAACCUCAGAAUUCUUGACCUUAGCCAUAAUCUAUUCAGUGGAAAUUUUCCAUCCUUCAUUAGUAAUCUCACAUCCUUGACAUUCUUAUCACUCUAUGAAAAUUACAUGCAAGGAUCAUUUUCACUUAUCAUUUUGGCUAAUCACUCCAAUCUUCAGCAUCUACAUAUUUCAUCGAAAAACAGCACUGGAGUACACAUUGAAACUGAAAAAACAAAGUGGUUUCCUAAAUUUCAAUUGAAGUCCCUCAUUCUUAGAAAUUGCAACCUAAACAAGGACAAAGGAAGUGUCAUUCCUACUUUUCUUUCUUAUCAAUAUAAUUUGAUACUGAUGGACCUCUCUAGCAACAAUAUUGUUGGCUCACUCCCAAGUUGGUUGAUAAAUAAUGAUGCCAUACAAUAUUUGGAUCUAUCAAACAACAAUUUUAGUGGUUUGCUUCCAGAAGAUAUAUUCCUUCCAAGUAUUACCUAUUUGAACUUUUCAUGGAAUAGCUUUGAAGGAAAUAUACCUUCAUCAAUUGGUAAGAUGAAAAAUCUUGAGUACUUUGACCUCUCUCAUAAUAAUUUCUCAGGUGAGUUACCUAAACAACUGGCCACAUAUUGCGAUAAUUUACAAUACUUGAUUCUCUCCAACAACUCUCUACGUGGGAAUAUUCCUAAAUUUGUGAGUAUGGAAGUUUUAUUACUGAAUAAUAACAACUUUAGUGGAACACUUGAUGAUGUAUUGGGAAAGGGAAAUAAUACAAGAAUACUAAUGCUAUCCAUAUCCAAUAACUCGAUCACAGGCAGAAUUCCUAGUUCAAUUGGGAUGUUUUCUAACAUGUAUGUCCUUCUUAUGUCUAAAAAUCAAUUAGAAGGUCAGAUCCCUAUUGAGAUUUCCAACAUGUCCAGUCUUUAUAUUUUGGAUCUUUCUCAAAACAAGUUAAUUGGAGCAAUCCCAAAGUUCACAGCUGGAUCUCUGAGAUUCUUGUAUUUACAACAGAAUGAUCUCUCUGGAUUUAUACCAUUUGAACUCUCUGAAGGCUCAAAACUACAACUUCUAGAUUUGAGGGAGAACAAACUUUCAGGUAAAAUUCCCAACUGGAUGGAUAAGCUCUCAGAGUUGAGGGUUCUUUUAUUAGGAGGGAACAAUUUUGAAGGAGAAAUUCCAAUUCAAUUUUGUUGGUUCAAAAAGAUCGACAUAAUGGAUCUAUCACGGAACAUGCUCAAUGCUUCAAUACCAUCUUGCCUCCAAAAUAUGUCAUUUGGAAUGAGACAAUAUGUUCAUAAUGAUGAUGAUGACGGUCCUAUUUUUGAAUUCUCAAUGUACGGAGCUCCUACAGAUAUUUCCUUCAAUGCUAGUUUGUUGAUUCGACAUCCAUGGAUUGGAAAUUCGUUGAAAGAAGAACUACAAUUUGAAGUGGAGUUCAGAACAAAGCACAAUGAAUACUCUUACAAGGGUAUAGUUCUAGAGAAUAUGACUGGAUUGGAUUUAUCAUGCAAUAAGCUAACAGGUGUCAUCCCUUCUCAAAUUGGAGACCUACAACAAAUUAGAGCCUUGAAUCUAUCACAUAAUCACUUGUCUGGUCCCAUUCCAAUCACUUUUUCAAAUCUUACCCAAAUAGAGAGUCUUGACUUAUCAUACAAUGACUUGAGUGGUAAGAUACCCAAUGAACUAACCCAGCUAAACUUUUUGUCAACCUUCAAUGUGUCAUACAACAACCUUUCUGGAACACCACCUAGUACAGGACAAUUUGGAGGCUUUGUUGAGGAAAACUACAUAGGUAAUCCUGGUCUUUGUGGACCAUUCGUCAAUCGAAAGUGUGAACAUGUCGAGUCUUCAGCAUCAUCACAAUCCAAUGACGACGGAGAAAAGGAAACCAUGGUGGACAUGAUAACUUUUUAUUGGAGUUUCACAGCAUCUUACAUAACAAUAUUGUUGGCCCUCAUAACAGUUUUGUGCAUCAAUCCACGUUGGCGUAUGGCCUGGUUUUAUUAUAUCAGUAAGUUUAUGCGUAGAUUUUUUCCAACUUUUCCAUUGUAUUGAAGAGUGUCCAUAGUUUAAACUUUAUGUGGAGUCUCAAAUAUUUGGAUAUUGUAAUUUUUACCUUUAGCUUUAAUUUUCGAGAUGUUGAGACUUGAGAAAUUGAAUGUUCAGUUCCUUUUGUCAACUUUAUGAUCAUCGUGUUGUUUGUGUGAUGUAUUUAUCUGGAGUGGUUUGGAGGCAUUGUUAUAUAUUAUUGUAUUAUUUAGCAUUUUGAACCUAUGGGUCGUGCAUGAUGAAAACAUUGCUUAGUCUAUAAACAAAAUGAACAAUAAAUAUAGAGAACGCAACAUUAGCAGAACCAUAUUUUUUUGGCCUUGGUAUCCUUUCGUCGUCUCUGUAUUUCCUUAAGGAACAUUAAGUUUAAUCCUAAAUAGAUUUUUUGUGAAAAACUACGUGCAAUGUUUGAUGUUCUUGUAUGAAAUUGAAUGAUUCUACAGCUAAGACCAUAAUUAAUUUGACGAUGCUUUAUGAAAUUUGGUACCUUGAUCUUGUGGUUGUCACUUGUGGUUAAUGUUUCUUUGAACCAAUAGCAAACAACACAAUUCAUUCCAAAUUCGCCUCCGCUUAACAAACCGAACAACGAACUUGCGACGACGGCUCAGCUUCUAAACCGAACAGCAUUGUUCUUUUUGCCAUUUAUGAAACGACAUUGCUUUUGGUAGAUUCACGGAGUUGGAAUUGGACAAUGCUUAAAAUUGAACAUUUUAGGGACCAAAUUAAGUAUUGGCAGUUGAAUUGAAUUAUGUAAAUGCUUAAUAAAAUAGGUUUGUUUCUUGUCAGUGGUUAAUAAGUUGUGAUCACCCCUUAUGCAGAUCUUGUUAUGUUAAUAAUCUCAAUGAAAUGGGGUUGUACACUUACUAUUUAUGCUUUCAUAAUACUGGACCUUGAUUAAUUUAAGUAUGAGAAUAAUGAUGUUAGUUUACUCAAAUUGAUGUUUUAAUUUUAAAAGAAUUUGCAAAUACUUGCAUUAAGUUGCAUACAACUUAAGUAUUUUCAGCCAUGAACCCGGUAGCAGCCAUUGAUCCUGUGAUAGACCCUAUGCUCUGUCGAGGGAAUCAUUCCCAUCUACAACUGAAAAUCAGUCUAUCGAUUGUGAGUAAAUAUCCAGAACGUACCCCUCCUUCUCGAGCCACGUCUAUUUAUAUCCCAAGUACACCCUUGUGUACAAUAGUAACUCCAAUUUAACUUACUAAAAUGCAGGUCUUGCCAAACUUUUUUGAAAAAAGUUAACAGAAGAACAACUCUGCUUUACGAAAAAAAAUACUUUACUGUGACUUCUUUUGAAGAAUAAAAAAUACAUUAUAGUCGAAUUAUUUGAAUUAUUAACAAAUGUAUAAGAUUAAUUAAUACCCUUAUUUGUGCAAAAACUGCAACAUUCCUUUUAGUUGUUAUAGUAAUCAGUGGUAAGCACACACUGGGGAAUAGAAUAGUUUAAGUUUAUAUGCUUCAGUGUUCUUGUGUGAAUACCAUGUUAAGUUUUUGGUUGAUGCAAGUAUUGUGGCACAAGAUGGAGCUAUUGGCUUAAACCGAGGAUUCAUGCCCAAAACAUUAAAAAUCCGAUUAUGUUUCCUUAAAUUCCGAUUUUGUUGAUAUUUUAUACUUAAAUUACAUCUUAAAAAAUAAGCAGAUAAAACUCUGUUUCAAACAAGAGAUUGCUAUUCUCAUUCCAUUAAGAACAAAUACUCACAACAACAAGAGAUUGUGAUUAGUUACCUGGCCUAUGUCUAAUUUAUUUUUCCGUACUACAUAUGACAUUGUCAAAUGUCUGAUUGCAGCUAGUGAGAAAGAGUUUCAAACAAUCGCUGAGGAAAACCGCAACAAACAAAAGAAAAACACAUAGUCAAUGAUGGUGAACUUAAGAAUGAUUUUGUUUUUGCCAUUUUUUACUGCUAUUAUUUGUGGGAGUUACUUUUGCCAAACUGCUACGAGUGAUAUAUCUCAGAAGGGGCUGUAAAAUUUGUAGGACACAAGUUUGUUCUAGGUGCACUAUUCUCUUGAAAAUCAAACAAAUAAUUGAGCAUAGUUGUUAAAAUCGUUCAGAUACAACCCUCAUUGUUAAUACAAGACACAUGGCUUGAUUAUUCAUUGUACUACUAAUAUGACUCCAUACCUAUGAAGCAUGGAUAUAGACGGACACGACACACAAUGACGCACCAACAUUGAUAAUAUUUUGAGAAAAUAACAUAAUUCAAUGUAAUAAUAUAUGCGUGUCAAUGUGUCCUACUUCAUAAUACACUUAAUCCCAUGAGUGUUUGUGCUUGAUAGCUCUUUACAUCUCUAUGAAUUAGAAUAUGUAGAUAGCAAAUGUCUUUUAAAGAUAAUGAACAUGUUCGUACUAUAUAUAAUCUGAAUCGGGAACAAUUUGUUUGGAAUAUAUAAUACGAACGGGUUCAGCAUUCAAUAAAAAAAAUCAAAUCAACUAAUUUUUUUUAUAAGGAAUGAGAUUUUACCUUGUGCUUGGUGUUUGAAAAAGCUUGAAAUGGUAUCUUUGGGUAUAAGUUUACCCUUCAAAAGAGAGAGUUUAUUUAAGUUCCCAUGAGGAUAUCUUUGGGUGCCAACUGGAGUUAAAGAUCUUAAUUACGGAGCGUUAGUCAAAAAGAAAGAGGUAGUACUUUGGUGGUAUAUUGAUAAAGAAAUAUUUAAUACACUUGAAAAUCCAAAGAUGGUCUUAUAAAGAAAAUGACAAGAAUUUUUUUUCCAAAUGGGAUGUAUAUUUUUUACUUAAUUUAAAUACUUGAUAAUCUAAUUGUUUUCUUUGAUAUCUAAUAUUUUAGAAAUCAUCUCCAUCAUAUCGAAAUUUACACUAGUGUUUCAAAUUGUAGACCACAUGUUCAAAUUGAAAGCAACUACACUAAACUAAUGUUCGUACAAGUGUUUAAUUGCAUACAUGAUAUGUUUAGCAUUUUGUUAAUGUCAACUAUAAGUCAUUCCAUGUAGCUUCGAGGAGGUUUCUUUGUAGUGAAAAUUAAUGUCUCAUCUUUUAGUGUAUAUAUAAUAGGAGAAUGUUAAGGUGCUCUUUAGGGCAUUGGUUAACCAACCAAAACAAGUAAUUUUUUCACAUAAGAUGUAAAAGAGGCUAUAGAUAUUUUAGGGUUAGAGAUAUUUUAGGGUUUCAUUCCAUGAUAUCUUCCUUUCUUUAUGUAAAAAGGUUAGAGAUAUUUUAGGGUUCUAUAGAGAGAAGAUGUGUAAAUUAAAACCAUAAUUUCCAUCACUUUGUUAUUUAUUUUUGACAGGUUCAUCACAUGUCAUAACCCAUAAUACCAAGGGAAUCUCUUUUUAUAUAUUAUUCUUCAUAGGCCAUAAAUGUCUGAAGGUGCAUAAACAUUAAAAUGGAAAAAAAGUUAAUUAUUGAAACUUUUUGUCGGUUUAACUAUAUAUAACUGUAAUCAUACUUGACUAUGAUUCAAUAUUGAAGGCAAUUACACGUGUUUGUACAAGUGUUUAAUUGCAUGCAUGAUAAGUUUAGCAUUUUUGUCAACUGUAAGUCAUUCCAUGUGCUUUCGAGGAAGUUUCUUUGUAAUGAAAAUUAAUUACUCGUAUUUUAAUGCUAUAUAUAAUAAUAUAGGGUUUUUAUUGUAUUGAUUGUAGAAAUUUGAGGUAAAACAAGUAACAUAAUAUAAAAAAAUGAAGUUGGGUUUGAUAUUCAGUUCCCUUUUAUAUUUUGUGAUUUUAAUGUUAAUGCAAAAUCAAGGAUGUAAGGGAUGCUUAGAGAAGGAGAGAAUAGGGCUGUUGGAGAUCAAGCACUACAUCUUGUCACAACAAGACAAAGGAGAUUCUUAUAAUAACAAAGAAUUGGGUUCAUGGAUUGAUGAUAGAGAUAGCAAUUGUUGUGUUUGGAAUAGAGUCAAGUGCUCUUUUGGUCACAUAGUUGAAUUAUCCAUCUAUAGUUUACUAUAUUUGUUCCCUGAUCCUAAUAUGUUAAAUGUUUCAUUGUUCCGUCCAUUUGAAGAGUUACGUCUCCUCGACUUGUCCAAGAACAAUAUUCAAGGUUGGAUUGACAACGAAGGUACUACUUUGGUCCUUAUAUAAGAGUUCUUUAACAAAUUUAUACAAAUUAGAAAAGUUGGUUAAUUUUUAUUUAUUGUGUUAAAUUUGUUAAAAUUUUAAUUUGGUCUCUAACAUAGUCUCAGAUACUAAUUUUUUAUACAUUCUUUAAUUUUAGGAUCGAGCUCUGUAAUUUUUUAGGCCAAUUGAGUGAUUAAUUUUUCUAUUUUAUUGUUCUCUUUCAUUUAUUAAUUUUUCUAUUUCACGAUUCACUGUUUUUUUUUUCUUCUUUCAUUUUUCAUGACUUUUGUUUCCAUAUUGUAACAAAUUUAAAAAUAAACCAUUGACAUAAACAUUUUUCAUUAAUCAAAAGAUUGUGUAUUCUUAUUUCCAUAUUGACAUAAACAUUUUACGAUGAUUUUAUAAAUUCAAAAGAUUGACUUUUGUUUCCAUAUUGUCAUCUUUCAUAGCUAGCUUCCUCUGUUUCUUUGAAACUAACUUAUUAUGCUUCUUUUGAAGGUUUUCCAGGACUUAAAAGUUGGAGACAUUAGACCUUUCAAAUAACUAUCUAAAUAGUAGCAUCUUAUCAAAUUUGAAUGGAUUAACGGCUCUAACAACUUUGAACCUCGGUUAUAACAAUAUAGAUAAUAACUUCUUCUCUCAAGGUACAAUUUGUUUCUAUAAUUUAGUACUUAUUUAUAAGACUUAGUUAACAAAUUUAAAAUUUUUGUUAAUUUUGAUUUUUUUGUUGUUUUAAAUAUGCUAGCAUUUUAAUAUUAAUUUUAAAAAUUAGAAUUAAUUGACAAUAUAAAAAUAGAUACCGGUAUCUAGUAUAUCAAUAGGUCUUAUUAAAUUUGGUGGGAUUAGUAUAAAUUUCGACCAAUACAAAAACAAGUGUCGUAAAUAGUACAGUAAAUUGUUUUUUUUUUAAGGAAGUACGGUAAAUGUUAUGUCACUAGCAUAAUUAUAAAAUAAUUAAUAUAAGAGAGACAAUUUUAAUGAGGCCUUUUUUUUUUUGUCAAGUAGUCUAGUGUUAGAGCUCACACAAUUUAAUUGUGGAGAAGUGGAGUGUCCGGGGUUCGAACCCCGGCUCCUGCAUAUAAUAUGCAAUAUCCUUACCAACUGAGUUAAGUUCACGGGGAUUUAAUGAGGUCUUUUAUAAAGGGAGAAAUAUAUAAAUGUUUCCAUAAAUGUAACUUAAUUGAUCGGAACAUUGCAAUAUGUUAUGGUCGGUGUUUGAAUCCUUAUUCUUCAUUUAUUUACUACAAGAGAUGAAUUUAAUAAAUUACUUGACAAAAAAAAUAAAUAAAUUGUUAAUAUGUCACACGCACUUAGUCAUUAAUUUUAUUAUUUUUGACAAAUAGUCAUUAAAACUCAUGGAACCCACGUUCAUGAAGUUUUUUUUUUAAAGAGGUUCACUGGUUGAUUUAGGUGUUAGACUAUUUUCUUCUUAAAUUAACAAUAACUGAAAUUAAUCUGUGAAAUGAAUUUUUUUUUUAAGUCACCAUUGUUUUUUAUUGACCAAUUCGGUCUUUAAGAUAGUCUCAGAUAUUGAUUGAUACAAGGAAAGUAUUUUUAAUUUUAUAAUGAUUUCAUAAAUUCUUUAAUUUUAGGAUCGACUUAUGUAAUUUUUUUAGUACAAAUUGAGUGGUUUGUUUUUCUAUUUCACAUGGCUAACUGUAUUUUCCCUUCAUUUUUCGUGACUUUUAUUUCUCUUUUGCAACAAGUGCUGAAAUAAACUGUUAACAAGAAACUGUUUUCAUUAAUCAUGUUUCUUUUGAAGGGUUUCCUAGACUUAAAAGAUUGGAGACAUUAGAUCUUUCAGGGAACUAUCUAAAUAGUAGCAUUUUGCCAAGUUUAAAUGGAUUGACUGCUCUAACAACUUUGAAGUUGGGUUCUAAUUUGAUGAAAAACUUCUCUGCUCAAGGUACGUUUUGUUUCAAUAAUUUAUUUAUGGAGUUUAUGUGAUGAAGUGAAUGAAUUAAGAAGACAAUUAUAAGAUCCCCAAGAAAAUAUUAAUUUUUAACGAUAAUAAGAAACUUUAAAUAAAAUGAAAAACUGGUUAUGAAUCAUUGGUAGGAAUUGAAAUUAAUUAACAAAAGCUUUUCAUUAGGAGGAAAGAAAUCGGAAUAAAAAGUGAAUGCAAUACUUGUUUGCACACUUAAAACUACUCAUCAUUAUGUAUAUUGUUCAAGGAUUUUCGAGAUCAAAGGAGUUGGAAGUCUUAGACCUUUCAGGAAAUAGGCUGAAUUGCAACAUCAUAUCAAGUUUGCAUGGAUUCACAUCAUUAAGGAGUUUGAUUCUAAGUGAUAACAAGUUCAAUUGUUCUUUCUCCACUUUCGGUACACAUCUUCAAUUCUUAUAUUAUGAUGAAUGUUUUUAUUUUCAUUUUUUAAAAAGAACUAUAUUAUGUCCUUGCUACAGAUUUUGCCAAAUUUAGUCGGCUAGAACUAUUGGACUUGAGUAUCAAUGGAUUUGGUGGUUCUCUACAUGUGGAAGGUACCUGUACUAUUAUUAUUGUUGUUUGUUAUUUUUUUGGGCACAGCAGAUAUAUAAUGUCACUCUCCACACAAUACUCUUUAGACACUGUGGAGCCUUGAGCUUCCAUAAAUUUUUCCACAAACCUGCAUUCUCAUCCAAAGGUGGUUAUGGACUUUGACUAGCCAUUUCCUCUUUGACGCGAUAGGUUGCCGACUUCAAUGAGUAAAUGCCAUCUUUAUCAUAUUCCCAUACCAAUUUCUCAUCUAGGAUUCUCCAAGAAUUUGAGAUUUCAUCUUCUUGUUUUGUCAUAUGCACCACUUCAUUCCCAAAUAUAUUCAUUAAGAUCCUAAUGCAUAAUUUGGUUGGUAACCAAUAUGAGCAAUGAAUUCUCAGUGGAAACUAGUCUUCAACGCUAUUCUCUAACUAUGUACUCUCUUUUUUUCCUGCAGAUGUUCAACAUUUGAAAAACUUGAAAAUGUUAAGUUUAAGAAAUAAUCAAAUGAACGGCUCAAUUGAAGGUAUCAAUACUACCAAACACAAAUAAUUAAUUCAUAAUUGCUUCACGGGAUGGUUUUGGGGAUGGAUUGUUACAAUGAAGAUAACUUUUAUAUUGAUUUUAAAUUUUAAAUAAUUAACAAAAAGAAUGAAAUAAGUUAAUUAAUGUAUAUAUUGACGCCAUUGGAAAAACUUUUAAGAUUUUUAUGAUAAUGUCAAUUUUUGUAUAGAUGACAGGACAUAGUUAAUUAAUUAUGACAGGACUAUGCAAUUUGAAGGAUUUGGUAGAAUUGGAUAUCAGCUAUAACAUGUUUAGUGCUAAACUUCCAGAGUGUUUAAGCAACUUAACAAACCUUAGAGUUCUUGAACUUAGUAAUAAUCUGUUCAGUGGAAAUUUUCCAUCUUUCAUUAGCAAUCUCACAUCACUGGCAUACUUAUCCUUCUAUGGAAAUUACAUGCAAGGAUCAUUUUCAUUGAGCACUUUGGCUAAUCACUCAAAUCUUCAGCAUCUAUAUAUUUCACCGGAAAACAGUGGAGUUCUCAUUGAAACUGAAAAGACAAAGUGGUUUCCCAAAUUUCAAUUGAAGACACUCAUUCUUAGAAAUUGCAACCUAAACAAGGAGAAAGGAGGUGUCAUUCCUACUUUUCUUUCAUAUCAAUAUAAUUUGAUAUUCUUGGACCUCUCCAGAAACAAUUUAGUUGGUUCAUUCCCAAGUUGGUUGAUAGAUAAUCAUAACAUGAAUUAUUUGGAUAUAUCAAACAACAAUUUGAGUGGUUUGCUUCCAAAAGAUAUUGGUAUAUUCCUUCCUAGUGUUAAGUAUUUGAACUUUUCAUGGAAUAGCUUUGAAGGAAAUAUACCUUCAUCAAUUGGUAAGAUGAAACAACUUGAGUACUUGGACCUCUCUCAGAAUCAUUUCUCAGGUGAGUUACCUAAACAACUGGCCACAGGUUGUGAUAAUUUACAAUACUUGAAGCUCUCCAACAACUUUCUACAUGGGAAGAUUCCAAGAUUUUCAGUGAAUAUGUUUGGGUUAUUUCUUAAUAAUAACAACUUUAGUGGAACACUUGAAGAUGUAUUGGAAAACAAUACAGGAUUAGGAAUGUUAUUCAUAUCCAAUUACUCAAUCACAGGCAAAAUUCCUAGUUCAAUUGGGAUGUUUUCUGAUAUGCAAGUCCUUCUUAUGUCCGGAAAUCUAUUAGAAGGUGAGAUCCCUAUUGAGAUUUCCAACAUGGCCAUUCUUCAAAUGUUGGAUCUUUCUCAAAACAAGUUAAAUGGAUCGAUCCCAAAGUUCAGUAGUUUGACAUCUCUAAGGUUCUUGUAUUUGCAAUAGAAUGAUCUCUCUGGAUCAAUACCAUCUGAACUCUCUGAAGGCUCACAACUACAACUUCUAGAUUUAAGGGACAACAAAUUUUCAGGUAAAAUUCCCAAUUGGAUGGAUAAGCUCUCAGAGUUAAGGGUCCUUCUAUUAGGAGGGAACAAUUUUGAAGGAGAUAUUCCAAUUCAAUUGUGUCCUUCUAAAAAAGAUCAACAUAAUGGACUUAUCACGGAACAUGCUCAAUGCUUCAAUACCAUCUUGCUUUCAAAAUAUGUCAUUUGGAAUGAGACAAUAUGUUGAUGCUCACGGUUUUGAAUUCUCAAUGUCCGAAGGUUUCACAGGUGAAUUUAUUCCAAAUUUGAAUUCUUUCUUCAAUGCUAGUUUGUCUAUUGGGCAGUUUUUUAAUGAAAAUUCGUUGGAUGAAGAUCUAGAAUUUGAAGUGCAGUUUAGAACAAAGCACUAUGAUUACUUUUACAAGGGUAUAGUUCUAAAGAUCAUGACUGGAUUGGAUUUAUCAUGCAAUAAGCUAACAGGUGUCAUCCCUUCUCAAAUUGGAGACCUACAACAAAUUAAAGCCUUGAAUCUAUCACAUAAUUACUUGUCUGGUCCUAUUCCAAUAACUUUUUCAAAACUUACCCAAAUAGAGAGCCUUGACUUAUCAUACAAUAACUUGAGUGGUAAGAUUCCUUAUGAACUAACCAAGUUGACCUCUUUAGAAAUCUUCAAUGUGUCAUACAACAACCUUUCUGGAACACCACCUAGCACAAGACAAUUUGCAAACUUUGAUGAGUACAACUACAGAGGUAAUCCCGGUCUUUGCGGACAACUCCUAAAUCAAAAGUGUGAACGUGUCGAGUCUUCACCUUCAUCACAAUCCAAUGACAAUGGAGAAAAGCAAACCAUGGUGGACAUGAUAACAUUUUAUUGGAGUUUCAUAACAUCUUAUAUUACAAUACUAUUGGCCUUCAUAACUGUGUUGGGCAUCAAUCCACGUUGGCGUAUGGCCUGGUUUUAUUACAUCAGUAAGUUUAUGCGUAGAUUCUUUCCAUCUUUUCCAUUAUAUUGAUGAGUGUCCAUAGUUCCUGUUGAAACUUUAUGUGGAGUCUAAAAUAUUUGGAUACUGUAUUUUUUAUAUUUACCGUUAAUUCCAGACAGUUUGAGACAUUGGCUUUUAAGCUCCUCUUGUCAACUUUAUGUUCAUCAUGUUGUUUGUGUGAUGUACUUAUCUGGAGAACUUUGAAGAUAUUGUGAUAUAUUAUUUUUGAAGAUCCAAGAGUUCCUCAAAUAGCUCUGAGACCUGUUUCAAAGAUCCAUCAAAUGACGUUCUGCAGCCAUUGACCCGGCAGCAGCCAUUGAUUCUGUGACAGGCCCUAUGCUAGAGUAUUAUUGAAAAGACGAAAAGAAAACGAGCAAAAACUGUUUUUUACUCGAGAGCAUGCUCUGUCGAUGGAAUCAUUCCCUUCUAGAGAGCCUUGUGUACAAUACUAACUCCAAUGCCAUUAAUAUUUGCCUUUAGUUUUCUUUUGUCAAUAAUAAUUCUUCAAGCACCAAAUCGGUCCAUGUCUAAGCCACUCAAAUUAAUCACUAACUCUAUUAAUAUUUCAAAUUAUUCAUUUUUUUUAUCAAAAGUUUCUGAACCAGAUCCUUCGACAUGUGACAAAAACAUAAAGAAAAGGUUCUAAUUGACAAACUUUUGACUAAGUGCUUUUGUAAGUAAUUCAUUAUGAGACCCUACGUUUUACAGUUGCUUUCAUAAUGUUAUUGUUUUUUCAUUGAAAGGUUUAGCUCUCGUAUUAACACUUUAGUUGUUUUCUAUAAAAGUAACUUCUUAUAUUUUUCAAAUAACUGGAAUGUCAAUGUAGGUUGAAUCUGGGUGCAGAACUAUGACAGAAGCGAUAUUACGAGUAGAUUUACACAUUUGUCUUAAAAUGACCGAAAUUAAUAAAUAGGUAAGAGUAUAAUAGAAAAAUUAGCAUUAAUGUUUUAUUGUUACUGUAAAACAAUUAUUUUUUUAUUUGUCCUCGUGAGUUUAACUCAGUUGGUAUAGAUAAUGUAUAAUAUAUGUAAGGUCCAGGUUCAAAUCCCAGCCAAAAAAAAAAAAAAAAACAAUUUCUUUUUUCUUUCCUGAAUUAUAAUUUGAGAUGGAGAGAGUAUUAAUUAAACUAGUAAUGUUAACAUACGUAUUUAAUCUUGCAAGAUAACAUUAGCAUCUUUGUCAAAUAUCAUCAUCUCUAGUCAACUCCAAGUCUUUCCUGAGGUUCCAGGAAGUUUCUUGCAAUUAAAAAGUCCCAUCUUUUUUUUUUUAGCAAAGACAAAAUUAAUGCAUUUCAUUCAAAAACAAAAAGUAACAAAGUUGAAGGUACACUAUAAAAAAGAUGGGGGCUAAGAUGAGAUAAGGAAGCUCUAGCUAUACUAUGAGCAACCCUAUUAGCUUGUCUCCUAAUAUACGACACUUUAAAGUCGGUAUUUGUAAACAAGAGACCUCUACAUUGAGAAAUAAUGUCUCCAACUUCAUUGAGGUGAGCGGAGGUAGUGUGAAUGGCAUCAGCAAGGGUCAUACAAUCUGUUUCAAAGCGGACAGUUUGAAAUCCCAAAGAGAUUGCCAAUUUUAUCGCCUCCGACAAUGCAGUAGCUUCAGCUUCUAAAACAGUCAUCGAGGAUGGAAAAAAUGCAGAUUUUGCAAUUAAGAGUUUCCCCUCCGAAUUUUGAAAACAGAUUUCAUAUCCAACAAUUGAUUAUGGUGGAAAAUUGCUGCGUCAACGUUGCAUUUUAUCACACCGGAAGGCGGUUUAACCCAAGAGAUGAUGUGGUUUGAAUUUUGAACCUGUAGUUUAGCUCUUUACAUACAAGUCCAUUCGUGGAGUGUAUCCUUUGCUCGAGUAAUAACAACAGUGGCUGGUGUAUUGGAAGACUCCCAAAGUCCCAUCUUUUAGUAUAAGGUGAAUACAGGAAUUUGGGGCAAGACCGAAAAGUCCCAAUAUAAUUGAUUCUUGCAGGAAAGAAAGACACUUACAAAACUAAAUGAUAUUCACCGUCAAUUUACAGAUUUUUUACACUCGCAAUUGUCAUAUCAUUAAAACCAUUUAACUUCAUUGAUAACUACUUCUAAAAUUACAUAAAUAUGAUUUGAUUGUGAUUUGUUAAUAAUAUAAUAUUUUUAAAUUGACAGUGUAUAUAAAAAAUUAACUAUGGCUACAUCAAGGUUUAUUAUAUCAUAGUUUAAAAAGUGAAUACUUUUUCCUCUCCUCACUGAUUCCAUUUUUUUUCUUCCGAUGUAAGCAUGAAUCGAAAGUUUUCAGUUUGAAGAGAAUAAGAAUUUUGGGGAGUUCUCUGAUUUUCCUUACCCUGUUAGCUCAAUUUCACUGACUUAGAACAUAGAAGAGGAAUGGAAAAUUCAAAUACAAAAUCUAGGCAAUGGCCAGCAUUUUAAGUAUAAUAGAUGGGGAAAAAAAGUAUUUAGAAGGAAAUAAUUAAGAUUUAUUGAUAUUGAAAAAAAAAAUAAGAUUUAUUGAUAUUGUAAAAUGAUAUGUAAAAUGAUAUAUAUAGUUUCUAAACUAAUUCAUAUAGUUACUAUUAUAGUAUUUUUGAAUCCUCAUGAGGACAUUAUUGUUCUUCCUAUCAAUCAAGUUAAGAAAUUAAUUCAUAUUGUUUAAACUCAACACCCUCGAGACUAGGGUUUCUAGUGUCAUAAAGAAUUGACUGAAAAGAGAAAUUUUAUUUGGUUUAAUCGAAAGACUCUAUUAGGACAGUCAUGAUACUAAUUUGCUUAUUAUAACUUUGUAGCUACAUAAGAUGGAUGACAAUACAGUGUUUCUUAAUGACAACAUUAAUGAUACAAUAUGGUGCAACUGAAGAAAACUUUCGUGUCAAUUGAUAUAAAAGUAGAUGAUUUGCAAAAUCAUGUAAUCCACUUAUGAGUUAAGAAAUUUGUCUCUUUAGUGUUACCAUAAAUUUUGAUAAAGUAAUUGUCUCAUUUGGUUUUGAGAUAAUAUUAUGAAGAAUUGUGGAUUUAGUAAGCUCAGUGGGGGUAAACUUAUAUUUCUAGUUUAAUGUGCCGGUUUUAUUUUAUUUAGUCAACUAUGAUAUAUGUUCGUUGUGUGAAACCAAGAAAUCUCUAACAAAAGUUUGGUGAUGAAAGAUCUUAGGGACACCUCUUUUGUUUAAGCAUUUUUGAUACUUAGAGAUACUUCUCAAGGUAUCCUUCAGAUGAUGUCACAAAAGAAUUAUAUCAAUAAAGUUGAAAAUGAAAUGACAUAAUUUUUUGGAUGAUCUCAAUCACCGAGAGAGACUUUUCAGUCUCAAAUAUUGCCCAAUUAAAAAAUUUAUGAAUUCAUAAAUUUAAGUAUUUUCCUACAUUUUACCUAUAGGAUUUUUAUGUAUGAUUUUAUUAUACACAUUUGGAAAUAGCGUAUUUAAUGAGAUUGAAAUAUGAGAGGGGAAAGGAAAAGGUUAGAAGAUGUAGGGUAAAACUGAUUCUCAUUGAUUAACUACAUUGAUACAUGGCAUAUAUAGAGUCGUAUGAAAAGUUAGUUGAUAACAAACUAGCUUACUUGCCAAACAAGUAAGUCCAUAACUAACUAACAGACUAAUGAGAAUAAAACAAUGUUAUAUACCUAACAAUCACUCCCCUUGUUUGAAAAAUACUUCUAGCUUCAAAGGUUUAGUCUUGAUGUCUGCUGGUUGAUUAAUGUUUGAACUAUAAUAAGCAAAUUCCAUAACUCCUUCUUUUGUUAAGACCCUACGAAAAUAUAUGUGAUAUCUAUGUGCUUACAUCUUCCAUGCAUUGAAAGAUUCUUUGACAAUUUUCCUGAUGAAUAUAUGUACUACAGAUCAGGGCUGGCCAUGGACCUGUGCAAACAGUGCUACGACACAGGACUUCAAAGUUUUGAGGGCCUAAAUUUUAAAGGUCAAAAUUAUGAGUUAUGAUCUUCUUCAUUUUCCUUAUUUAUUACUAUAGCUUUGAAGAUUUUUAAAGUAUAUAUUAAAUAAUAGAAAAUGUUACGAAUGUCCACGAAAUAUUCUUUAAAGUCUUUAAAUUUGUGUAUUCAAUUAUGGUUUGAAAUUAAAGUAUUUUAUUUUCUAAGGAAUAAUUUCUUAAUUUGAUAUUCUUAAUGAGGACCUCGGAGACACUCGUUGGUCGUUAGUAGAACCUUUAAAUAAUUAAGGGCAAAUUACACUCACCUCUCUUGAGGUCUCUUUAAACAACACAUAUACCCCCUCUAGUUUUCAAAAACACUCACCUCCCCUCUAAACUAACUCUGCUAGCCUAAAAUGUUGAUUCUUAACAACCCUGAUUCAUUCCAUUACAGAAAAACUCCACUACAAUGAAAUCUUUAUCUACCGUGUAAAUUUAUAGGUUCGUCACCGGUAUUCAUACAUUCCACCGCUAUGGGCAACUCCAAAUCAAUUUCACCAUUCUCUAAACAAUUCUUAAAAGUAUAUCACUUUUAAAAAAGCGUACCGCACUAGCUAGAUGUACAUAGAAAGCAAGAACCAAUUUUUGACUUCAAGCAGGGCCCAAGUAAAAAGCAAAGCAUUGAAAUCAUUGCAAGAGCAGAAACGACCCUGCCAACAAUCAAGAUUUAAAAAUAAUUGCUGUUUUCUUUAGUGAUUAGUUACAUAAUGGAGUGUAGAAUGGUUACAAUAACAUAGAUUUUCAAAUCACUUAGAAUUUUAUAAUAUAGUUUAGGCACGGUCAUCACAUACCUAAUUAGUGAUUUAAAUUUGAUUUUUUAUAGUGAAAGAAUCUAUGUUUCUUAUGAUUUAUAAUUUUUUAACGAGUAAACAACAAUUUUGUUAUCUGAAUAUGUGACAAAUUAUCACCAUAGUCUUUGAUGUAUCGAAAUUACAAAUGCAUCUUCAAGUGUAUCUUUAAUUAAUCAUUAUCAUCUUCAAACAUAUUUCGUCGUUUAUCAUUUUAGUCCUUAAAAUGUAUCUUUAGUGAUGAUUUAUUAAUAUUAUAAAAUGUGAAAUAACUGGUACAAACUUUUUUACAUCUCAAUCAACCAACAAAUCCGUCCAAAAGUUAGAAUCUCUUCCAUCUCUUAUGACCUUUCUUAAAUUUCCCUCAAAUCACCCCGGUAAUGAUGAUAUAGACCUUAAAUCCCUCCACCAAACUGAACCAAUGUUUCUUACCAAAUUCAAACUAUCAUCAUAUUUGGCGUUUGUCUUUUAGCCCUAUUUUCUAAACAAACAAACAAACAUAAAUAAGUUGUAAAAAAGAGAGAAUUGAACUUAAAAUCUUAAGAUGAGUGUACUUUAUGAUCUCAAAUCAAUACCACGAGACACACUCAAAUGAGUUUCCACUUUCUAUUUCUCAUUGUUUCUAAUCUAUCCAUCCAUGAAGCACAAUACUCCUCGGGUUAAGGGUGUGUCCCGGUGUGAAAUAUGUAUCGUGUCCCACACCAACACCGACACCGACACAUAUCUCCGUGUCGUAACUGCAUCUGAGUUUGUGCUUCACAUCCUUCCAUCAACAUCAAUUCUAAGAGUAUUUUACAGAUCCACAUCCUAUGCAAGAAAUCACCCUUUCAUUGACCUUGCGAGUGUAUAUCCCCUCAAUUCUAUCCCAAAGCUUUAAAACAAUCAAGGAGCUCAAUUAUGCUUUGAGAAGACACUAACUAAUAGUAACUAAGGUCAUGGAAAUGGGAAGUGAAGUCAUUGAAACUCAACAAGACAUCAUUAAGUUGCUCCCACAAUGAAAUUGGAUCAAAUUCAAAACAAUCUCCAUCAUGAUCGUAAUAUGGAAUUAAGGAUGUGAUUUUGUGAUACAAUUUUUUUUGUUUCUUUCUUCAAAUUUACAGUAACUCUUUACAACUAUUACACACAUAUUUAAUAAAAUUUUACAAGCUUGUUGAAUUUCAAAAUUCAGUUUUAAGAUGAAAAUCAUACCCAUGAUAUCAAUAAAACUUCACUCCAAUUCAAAAUUAACUCGAUAUAUACACUUUUGAAAUAUAUAAAAAAUAAAUAAAAACAUCUUAUUGUAAACUUAUUUUUGAUUAAAUCUUAUAAGAUUUUAACAUAAAAAAUCAAUGUAAAUAGUUAUUCUAAAAAUAUCAUAUUAUAUCUAAAAUUUAUACUAUAUAUAAAGAAAACUACCCCUUUCAGCAUUUUAGGGUUGUAUUUUUUCUUCCAAAAAUACCCUAAAUUUUCAAAUACAAAUAACACAUGUAACAAACAAAUAGAUAAAAAUAAAUUUAAUAUUAAAACAAAUAUAACAAACACGAUAUGAAUAUAUAUAUAUCUUUGGUUUUUUUUCUUUUUCAUUUAAUAAGUGUAACAAACUAGAUGAGGAUAUUUAUACUUACUUUUACAUUAUUUCAAUUAAAUCCUCAAACAACUUUUUCUAUAAUAAAUAUUGUUAUUGGUUUCAUUAAAAUAAAAGAAUUUUAGAUUAUAUUUUUUUUGUUAUAUUGUUGGUGUAAUUGAAAUAGAUAAUCAUGGUUAGAUUGCUUUGUUAUAACUUGAAAAUAACAAACAUUUAUAUUUUUAAUUUUAAUCAAAAUAAAAUUUCAUAAAAAACAUCGUUCAUAAUUUUCAAAUGUUAGCGCAAUAAAAAGAGCGGAAAGACAGACAGGUGAGUGCCCGUCUUUUCGCUAGUCAUCAAUAAUGUAAGUGUACUGAAGUUUUAUCCAUUCUCAAGUUAUAUCACUGCCACAAAUUGUUCUAAACAAUUGUUUCAUUUAAUUAAGAAAUGUUAAAUAAGUCCCUUAAUAAAAAAUGAGAAUAUUUAACUGAAAAUUGAUUGGCGGUUUCACUCGCUAUCGGCAUUUGGUGGAACACCUUAAUCUUACUUAUCGGUAGACCUUUCCGUGGUCCAAUUCUUAAUUAAAGUAUCGAUUAUUAGGACUUAAGUCCAUGAGAAGAGCCUCAUGGUUUAAAUGACGCAUCAAGCACUUUGGUCUACUUGAUUUGGGACUCCUAACAUAUUCUUUGCAGCUAUAACAACGUUUCUUCGCAGCUUGAUAAGAUUUUGUGGCGGUAGUUUACGUGAUUUUUUUCUUCGAUAUAUUAAAACGGAAAACAAAGGUAUCAGACACUACCUAUACCUCUUUGCCAUAUCCAUUUUUAUGAUUACUGAUUGUAUUUUUAGAACCUUGGCAACUACUACCUCUGUCGUAAAUUAUAAGUUGUUUUGGUCAUUUCACACGUAUUAAAAAUUGAAAUUAAUUUGUAUAUGAAAGAGAUAUUAUGAGUUGCUUUACACAAUUAUCUUAAUAAAUAGUAUCAGAAAAAUAAAUUAAAGAAUUGAAAUGAGUAAUAUUAAUAAAUAGUUAAGAGUAUAAUAGAAAAAUUAUUACUAAUGUUUUUAUUGUUAUUGUAAAACAAUUUAUAAUUUGAGACAACUUUUUUUCCAUACUUAUAAUUUGAGACAGAGAGAGUAUUAAACUAAUAAUGUUCACAUACGUAUUUAGUCUUGCAAGAUAACAUUAGCAUUUGUCAUAUGUAAUCUUCUCUAGUCAACUUCAAAUCUUUCUUGUGCUUCGAGGAAAUUUUUUGCAAUUGAAAAGUCCCAUCUUUUAGUAUAAUAAUAUAAAGUGAAUACAGGAAUUUGGGGCAAGACUGAAAAGUCCCAAUAUAAUGAUUCUUGCUUGAAAAAAAAGACACUUACAAAACUGAAUGAUAUGUUAUCAUAUUUUUCGGGUAACAUCUUGCAAUUUUUACGAGUUUAAUUUAUAUGUGCCAUCAAUUUAAAGACUUUUUUAUGAUAACUACUUCUAAAAUUAUAGAUAUGAUUGAAUGUGAUUUGUUAAUAAUUUAACUUUUUUUACAUUGACGAUGUAUAUCAAAAUUAACUAUGGCUAUAUCAAGGUUUAUUAUAUCAUAGUUUAAAAAGUGAAUACUUUUUCCUCUCCUCACUGAUUCCUUAUUUUGUCCGAUGUAGGAAGGUCCCGAAAGUUUUCAGUUUGAAGAGAACAAGAAUUUUUGGGAGUUCUGAUUUUCCUUUCCCUAUUAGCUCAGGAAUGGAAAAUUCAUAUAAAAAAUCUAGGCAAUGGCUAAAACAGCAUUUUAAGUAUAAUAGAUGAGGAAAAAAAGCAUAAUAGAAGAAAAAAAAUUAAGAUUUAUUGAUAUUGGAAAAAAUUAAGAUUUAUUGAUAUUGUAAAAUGAUAUAUAAAUGGGAGAAAAAAAGUAAAUUGGGAGAAUUUUACUUCUUAUAACUUUAAUAAUCUUAUUUUAAACUGGUUAAACUUUUCUUAAUGACCGACGUUAGUAUAGUUAAUUACUUACCAUACUAUUUGUUAGAGGGAGGAGUUGAAUAAAUGACCUCUUUACCACUCAAUCCUUAUUGAAAGUAAUACGUAUUUAAAUAUCAUGUAAGAUAAGUUUAGCAUCUUUCUUAAAUGUCAUCAUCUCUAGUCAACUCCAAGUCUUUCUUUUGCUUGGAGGAAGUUUCUUGUAAUAGAAAAUAUCCCAUAAUUUUAGUAUAUAUAAUAUAAUAAUAUGAGAUGAUUAUAUGAGGUCGGGAAGAACUGCUCACAUUCCUAAAAAAAAUGAAGCUGGGUUUGAUAAAUAGUUUCCUUUUAUAUUUUGUGACAUUGAUGUUAAUGCUAACUCAAGGAUGUAACGGUUGCUUAGAGAAAGAGAGAAUAUCAUUGUUGGAGAUCAAACACUACUUCUUGUCACAAACAGGAGAUCCUUACAAUAAAUUGGGUUCAUGGGUUGAUGAUAGAGAUAGCAAUUGUUGUUCUUGGAACAAUGUCAAGUGCUCUAACAUCUCUUCGGGUCACAUAAUUGAAUUAUCCAUCCGAAAGUUACUAUUCGAUAUACCCUUUGAUAUGAAGUUAAAUGUUUCACUAUUCCGUCCAUUUAAAGAGCUACGGCUCCUCGACUUGUCCUACAACUCCUUUCUAGGCUGGAUUGGCAACGAAGGUACUACGUUCGUCCUUAUAUAUAAAAUUUCUUUAAUAAACUUAUACAAAUUAAAAAAGUUCAUUAAUUUUUAUUUGUUGUGUUAAAUUUAUUAACAUUUUAAUUUAUAUUGUCAUAAUUAGCAAUAAUUGACGGGUGAGUUUAAGUUUUCUAAAAAAGAUUGUUAUUUUACAACAUGAAAAUUCAAUGUUCAAAUCUCAAUUAAGAGAGAUGUCAGUACUUUCUAUUUAUUACAAUAUCUUAUAUACGAAUUAAAAAUCAAUGAUCUUAUAAAAUUUGGUGGGAUCAAUAUAAAUUUCAACCAAUACAAACAUAAGUGUUGUAAAUAGUAUAUCACUAGCAUAAUUAAAAAAUACAUAAUACAAGAGAGAAUUUUCUUAUAGGUACAAGAGAGAUAUUUUUACUGAAGCCUUUUAUAGUGUUGUAAAAAGUGUGGUAAAUAGUGUGUUACUAGCAUAAUUAAAAAAAUAUUGUUAUAUUUGUCGUUGUAUCCAUCAAUUUGGUCUCUCUAAGAUAGUCUCAGAUACUAAUUAAAACUAUGAAAGUGUUUAUAAUUUUACGAUGAUUUUAUAAAUUCUUUAAUUUUAGGAUCGAGCUCUGUAAUUUUUUAGGCCAAUUGAGGGAUUAAUUUUUCUAUUUUAUUGUUCUCUUUCAUUUAUUAAUUUUUCUAUUUCAUGGUUCACUGUUUUUUUGUUCUCUUUCAUUUUUCAUGACUUUUGUUUCCAUAUUGUAACAAAUUUAAAAAUAAACCAUUGACAUAAACAUUUUUCAUUAAUCACUGUAUUUUCCCUUCAUUUUUCGUGACUUUUAUUUCUCUUUUGCAACAAAUGCUGAAAUAAACUAUUAACAAGAAACUGUUUUCAUUAAUCAUGUUUCUUUUGAAGGGUUUCCUAGACUUAAAAGAUUGGAGACAUUAGAUCUUUCAGGGAACUAUCUAAAUAGUAGCAUUUUGCCAAGUUUGAAAGGAUUGACUGCUCUGACAACUUUGAAGUUGGUUUCCAAUUCGAUGGAAAACUUCUCUGCUCAAGGUACAUUUUGUUUCAAUAAUUUAUUUAUGGAGUUUAUGUGAUGAAGUGAAUGAAUUAGAAUACAAUUAUAAGAUCCCCAAGAAAAUAUAAUUUUUAACGAUAAUAAGAGACUUUAAAUAAAAUGAAAAAGUGGUUAUGAAUCAUCGGUAGGAAUUGAAAUUAAUUAACAAAAGCUUUUCAUUAUGUAUAUAUAUUGUUGAAGGAUUUUCGAGAUCAAAGGAGUUGGAAGUCUUAGACCUUUCAGGAAAUAGGCUAAAUUGCAACAUAAUAACAAGUUUGCAUGGAUUCACAUCAUUAAGGAGUUUGAUUCUGAGUUACAACAACUUCAAUUGUUCUCUCUCCACUUUAGGUAAACAUCUUCAAUUCUUAUAUUAUGACGAAUGAUUUUAUUAUCAUUUAUUAAAAAGAAAUAAAUUAUGUCCUUGCAACAGAUUUUGCCAAAUUUAGUCGGCUAGAACUAUUGGACUUGGGUGGUAAUCAAUUUACUGGUUCUCUACAUGUUGAAGGUACUUUUACUGUUAUUGUUGUUUCAAAUAUUACAAAGAAACACAAAAUUUAUUAUUACUAUUUAUGGCAAAACAAUUUAUAUAUAGGAAAAUUUCUUCUAUUUGAGAAAUUCAGACUUUGUUUAGGAAUUUAAAAUCCACAUUAUAAAUCAUAUUCUCAAUAGAAACUCUAAGUUAAUGAGUUUACAAUCUCUAAUUAAAUUCAAUAAAAUAAUUCUCCACACAAUUCGCCACAUUAUAAAUCAUAUUCUCAAUAGAGGCUUCCAUAAAUAUUUCCACAAACCUGCAUUCUCAUCCAAAGGUGGUUAUGGACUUUGUCUAGCCAUUUCCUCUUUGACGCGAUAGUAUGCCGACUUCAAUGAGUAAAUGCCAUCGUUAUGCAAAAUUAAGUUCAGGAAAAACGUGAGUAAUUUUGGCAGAAUAAAAAUAACAAAGACAUCAAGCCUCAAUUCUAUCAAUAAUAUAACCUUAUCGUUUAAUGCUAAUACUUUGACACCAAGUCAAACAUAAUCUGUUCUUCAAAAAUAAUAGUCAAACAUAAUUUGAAUUUUUUUUUGGGGAAUAGUUCUUACCGAUUUAUUUAUUGAAAAUUAUAUCUCUAACUAUGUACUCUCUUUUUUUUUCUUCUGCAGAUGUUCAACAUUUGAAAAAUUUGAAAAUGUUAAGUUUAAACGAUAAUCAAAUGAACGGCUCAAUUGAAGGUAUCAAUACUACCAAACACAAAUAAUUAAUUCAUAAUUGCUUCACGGGAUGGUUUUGGGGAUCGAUUGUUACAAUGAAGAUAACUUUUUUUUUUAUUUUAAAUUUUAAAUAAUUAACAAAAACAACGAAAUAAGUUAAUUAAUGUAUAUAUUGACGCCAUUGGAAAAACUUUUAAGAUUUUUAUGAUAAUGUCAAUUUUUGUAAAGAUGACAGGACAUAGUUAAUUAUGACAGGACUAUGCAAUUUUAAGGAUUUGGUAGAACUGGAUAUCAGCAAAAACAUGUUUAGUGCUAAACUUCCAGAUUGUUUAAGCAACUUAACAAACCUCAGAGUUCUUGAACUUAGUAAUAAUCUGUUCAGUGGAAAUUUUCCAUCUUUCAUUAGCAAUCUCACAUCACUGGCAUACUUAUCCUUCUAUGGAAAUUACAUGCAAGGAUCAUUUUCAUUGAGCACUUUGGCUAAUCAUUCCAAUCUUGAGGUUCUAUAUAUUUCAUCAAAAAACAAUAUUGGAGUAGACAUUGAAACUGAAAAAACAAAGUGGUUUCCUAAAUUUCAAUUGAAGUCACUUAUUGUUAGAAAUUGCAACCUAAACAAGGACGAAGGAAGUGUCAUUCCUACUUUUCUUUCAUAUCAAUAUAAUUUGGUAUACUUGGUCCUCUCCAGCAACAAUAUAAAUGGCUCACUCCCAAGUAAUUGGUUGAUACAUAAUGAUGACAUGAUAUAUUUGGAUAUAUCAAACAACAAUUUGAGUGGUUUGCUUCCAAAAGAUAUCGGUAUAUUCCUUCCUAAUGUUACCUAUUUGAACUUUUCAUGGAAUAGCUUUGAAGGAAAUAUACCUUCAUCAAUUGGUAAGAUGAAACAACUUCAACUCUUGGACUUCUCUCAAAAUCAUUUCUCAGGUGAGUUACCUAAACAACUGGCCACAGGUUGUGAUAAUUUACAAUACUUGAAGCUCUCCAACAACUUUCUACAUGGGAACAUUCCAAGAUUUUGUAAUUCAGUGAAUAUGUUUGGGUUAUUUCUUAAUAAUAACAACUUUAGUGGAACACUUGAAGAUGUAUUAGGAAAUAAUACAAGAUUAGAAACGCUGUCCAUAUCCAAUAAUUCAUUCUCAGGCACAAUUCCUAGUUCAAUUGGGAUGUUUUCUAACAUGUGGGCCCUUCUUAUGUCUAAAAAUCAAUUAGAAGGUGAGAUCCCUAUUGAGAUUUCCAGCAUAUGGCGGCUUCAAAUUUUAGAUCUUUCUCAAAACAAGUUAAAUGGAUCAAUCCCACCUUUAAGUGGUUUGACUCUUCUAAGGUUCUUGUAUUUGCAAGAGAAUGGUCUCUCUGGAUCAAUCCCAUAUGAACUCUAUGAAGGCUUCCAACUACAACUUCUAGAUUUGAGGGAGAACAAAUUUUCAGGAAAAAUUCCCAACUGGAUGGAUAAGUUCUCAGAAUUAAGGGUCCUUUUAUUAGGAGGGAACAAUUUUGAAGGAGAAAUUCCAAUGCAGUUGUGUCGGUUAAAAAAGAUCAACAUAAUGGACUUAUCACGAAACAUGCUCAAUGCUUCCAUACCAUCUUGCUUUCGAAAUAUGUUAUUUGGAAUGAGACAAUAUGUUGAUGCUGUUUUUGACCUCUCAUCCAUCUUAUAUGGCCAACAUAUACAAGACACACAUUAUUUCUUCGAUUCUAGUUUGUCGAUUGAUCUUCCAUUGGAAAAAGAUCAAUUGAUUGAAGAUCUACUACAUUUGGAAGUGGAGUUCAGAACAAAGCACUAUGAAUACUUUUACAAGGGUAAAGUUCUAGAGAAUAUGACUGGAUUGGAUUUAUCAUGCAAUAAGCUAACAGGUGUCAUCCCUUCUCAAAUUGGAGACCUACAACAAAUUAGAGCCUUGAAUCUAUCACAUAAUCACUUGUCAGGUCCCAUUCCAAUCACUUUUUCAAAUCUUACCCAAAUAGAGAGUCUUGACUUAUCAUACAAUGACUUGAGUGGUAAGAUACCCAAUGAACUAACCCAGCUAAACUUUUUGUCAACCUUCAAUGUGUCAUACAACAACCUUUCUGGAACACCACCUAGUAUAGGCCAGUUUGCAAACUUUGAUGAGGAUAACUACAGAGGUAAUCCCAGUCUUUGUGGACCACU